AAAAAAAACUAUACCACACAAAAUAAAAAAGAGAUCAUGAGAAAGAAGUGUAUGUUGUUGAUGAUGAUGAUGGCACUGGCGAUGAUGCCAUUACCAGCAAUGAGUGAAUCAUUUGGAGAUUGUGAAGUGAGAUGCGAUUAUUCAUGCCAAAUAUAUUACGUCGAAGUGAAACAAUGCAUUAACGAUUGUAUUGUUAACAAAUGCUACAAGCGGCCAAUUCGGACAGCGGCUAAAGGGAUGUUUCAAGAAAGCAAUGUUUAGAGAAAAAGAUAUAUCUACUCUUUACGUUUAGGUCUUGAAUGUUUAGUGAAUUUUUAAUUUUUGGAUUUCUUAAAAUUUAGUAAAACUAUUUUAUUAUAAUCUUUUAUUCA
This is a long non-coding RNA of Capsella rubella, 371 nucleotides long. RefSeq lists it as uncharacterized. NCBI's taxonomy places the organism in Eukaryota, Viridiplantae, Streptophyta, Magnoliopsida, Brassicales, Brassicaceae. The transcript has 2 exons. The record is from RefSeq and is a predicted model, not a curated record.